This is a long non-coding RNA of Columba livia (rock pigeon), 5106 nucleotides long. RefSeq lists it as uncharacterized. The record is from RefSeq and is a predicted model, not a curated record. The transcript has 4 exons. Lineage: Eukaryota; Metazoa; Chordata; Aves; Columbiformes; Columbidae.
ACAUCCUGCGCCGGGACCCGCCGCCUGCCUGCGGGGUGACCUCACGGCGGCCCUUACUGCCAUCCGGGCUGCUCUUCUGCGGAUUAGCUUCUUUUCUUUUUUUUCGUGGUUACGUUAUGUGGAAGGGUUUAUUCUUGUUUUGUGCUUCGCAACGGGAAGAGGGUACAUCUGUAGCAGCAGCAGUGAUGCGUUCUUUGUGUUAUUUUUGUCUCUUGCUUUAGCAAAGUCAUGGAAAAGAUGACAGGGGUGCAGCGUCCCUAGUUCUGUGCGCUUGGCACUGGCACAGCAUAAGCUGCGUGGGUCAGAAAGUGCCGCGAGGAGAUGGGAUGUGUUGGUAGAACCGUAGGAGCAUCAGUCAGGAGCUUCUCUCGGCCAAGCAAACAGAAUAGCUGCCGUGCUUUCCUCUCCUGAUGCUUAGCAUUAGCUGCCUGUGGAGAGAAGGUUUUAGAUUACUACUACAUCUGGCCUGACAGAAUUUCAUGUAUCUGAAAUAUUAAUGUAUUGCCUAACAAAGGCCUUUCAUAGCACGCUGGGAGUGAAACAAAAAGACCCAUUCUCAUUGUUUGAUGUGAAAGUGCUUGAGAGGAAGGAGAUGCUCAAUUGCUUUUUGCCGUUACCUUGUUGUUUCUUUGCUACCUCUAACACAUCACUAAAAAUGGUGUUUGGGUCCCCUAUACCACGGCCUGUACAACCAAUAUUUACCCAAACACAUUAUUUCUACCGCCACACGAGGUCACUUAAUCACAUAAUUGUCUCCAAAGUGGUUUGGAUUGUGCUCGUGAGGGCUUCCUGCCAGCUGGACUCUCCCACCAACAACUGACACCUGGAGGUUCAGUAUGUUUGUUGGACUUGAUGGAUGAUCUUUAGGGUCUCUUUUCAACCAAAAUGAUUCUAUGAUUCUGUGGCCCAGGGCAGAACUCUUAGCCCAGGCCUGGGGUUACGGUUAGGACUAGGACUAAGGUAAACAGAGUGCGAAGUAGGAAACCUAUGUGUGUUAGAUCAGUGCCUAGGCAUGGUUUAUUCUAGAGUCAUAGCUUGCUGUUAUGCCCUUUUUUUCCCCCUUGGGAUGCCAUGAACUGGACAUAACUGUUCCACUUGCAACACCUUUGCUUGGAUCACAGGUGGAGUGACAGGCAGGGUGUGCAUCAAGUGCUGCCAAAGGGGAUCUGGAAGAGAAGGAAAACAGUCAAUUUUCUGUUCUGCUUGUGGCUUGGCUUCAUGCUGUAACACUGAUAUUCUUGACCACCACUGUUUACCUCCUGUCACAGUGGGUAGAGAAGGGAAUGGGCAUAACAUGGGUGGAGACAACUGUGUGGGGAGAGAACUGAGUGACUGCUGAAAGCAUGUUGCUAAGCUGGACAUUGAUUGUCAUAAAAAGUGAACGGAUUUAAAGCAGAAGGAUUUUCUCAGUUCAAUCAGGUGCAUGGAGUACAAGUUCAGAAGAAAGUACAUGAAGCUGUUCAGUAAGCAUAAAUCCCAUGAAGGUGACUUUAAUUAUGCUCUGGCUGCAUUCAGUGAAGAACAGAACCUGUAUCCAUGCUGUGACUUACUUCCUGCUCAAAUCAUUGAACUAUGUCUGCAGCUACAGCAGUCCCGAGUUCAAGUUUUGACACUGUCAGGGUUUGGUCAGAAGAAAGUCCAUGCUGGUGAUGUGCCUCGCAUCCUCUGAACAGGAAAUGUUGCUGCUAACAAUGCAAGAGCCUGCACCUCCCAAAACAGGGCGCAUGGGUGCUUAUGCUUCCCCCAUGACUGAGCACCCCUCUCAGUCAUGAAGAGACACCAGAGACCAUGUAGCCAAGCUCCAGACUUGGCUGGAGAGGAGCAUCUGUCAGCCCCUGCAGCUUAGCCAUGCUCUCCUCCCUCUGCUCAAGGAGCCUGCUCCAGUCAAAGCACCAGGACUGUGUUAGACAGGAAGGAAGAAUGAAUUCCAGAAGGAGGAAUCUCCAAUGAUUGUGCCCCUUCCCAGCCUCUAGACAUUCAAACCCAGGUGCCUGCAACCGAGAACUUCACAGCUGAUUUUGACAAUUAAGCAAAAAGACUAAUGGACUUCCUCAGGUAACCAGGCAAGAUGAGCUAUAUUCUCUGGAGAGUAAAUGUUUUGCUUUUAUAGCACAAUAUUGCCUCCCAGAGAUGACUGUUUAUGCUACUUUUACUGCAUCGUUACAGGAAUAAUAUUACCAUAUAGCAAAUUGCUUUUUCACCAGCAGCACGUACCUCCCACGUACCACACCUUCAUUUACACUUCUUGGCAGCUCUACCGUGGCAGCGCACAGAUCCUUGUGCUGUCUUGGCAAACCAGACGGGACGCCUGGGCUUGUGCUUAAGAGUAGAAGGCAGGUGUUGUAACAUUUUGCCGCACGAUUUCAUGUGCUAGUAGCAGGAGCAUGUGAUCCCUAAUUCCUGAGGUACAGCAUCACUCUGACUCCCAUGCCAAGCCUUUUCUGAACAGGCUCAGGCAGCUUCGCAACUGCAAGUCAUUUUUCUCUGAUACCUAUAGAUAGGGACUAGAAUAACACUGUGAAAAUGUCUUUCAGAGCUUGUGAGUAAAGAAGGAUCUGGAAAUGGGAAAGGCUAGUAUCAUAAUGUCUUAUAAUGUCAUAGUAUCAUAUAAUGCUAGUUCCUGGGUAUUUGAUUUAACAUCCUAGUACCACAACAUUUCUAUAGACUUUUCAGGGGAGUUCUGAGUCAUUAAAAUUGUUUCAGGAGCUAAUGACUUCCAAUAUUUCAUUAUUUUGUGUUUUGUUUUUAAUUAUUCCUUGUUUAAUUCUCUUUGAAAAUGAGUGUUCUUUCCUAGCAAAGAAUGAAAGAACAUGGGUCAUACAUGGUUUUUCUAUUCUUAUUUUAAUUUUCUUAAGAAAUUGCUGAAUGAACGAAUCACAGGGGCCACAGUUUGACCAACAGAUUACUCAGUCAACUCAACCGACCACUAGAUUGCUCCAUAUGUUGCUCAGGGAAGCUGUGUAAUUUACAUGUCUGAAAGUCUUUGGUUACAAAGCAAACACUUUGAGGAACAGCAUACACAAAAGUUAGGACGGAGCAAUAAUCUAUGUCAAUGUUUCUCAGCAUUUUUCAGCUGAAGAAUAAGCCAAACUUUAAGCAAAGAAAGGUAUAUUUUAUUUAAUUUUGUCAUAAUUGUUUUAUUGUGUAAUUAACAUCAUGUGGGCUGAAAUGGGAUUAUACAUGCUUUAGGUUUUUUACUGUGAUUUUUAUUAAUUUCUUCAGUUAUACUAAUUUUUGGCUGUAUAUUUUGCUAACAUUAUGAGGUUUUAAAUCAUUCGGUAAAUGUGCCAUCUAAGAUCUUAUGAGCCAGUGGUGAAAACCUGUUGAGAAGCAUUGAACGAGGUAACUUCUGCAGGUACUUCCUGUCCAUUUGCUUUACAACUCUUUUGAUAUCCUGACAUUUGCAAGUAGGUGUUCCCCGGCACCCAACUUGCACCAUUCACUCCAGAGUAGUGAGAGUGAGGAUGUGAGAUCUUCCUCUGCAUUCCUCUGGUCCUUUUACACUCAACGUUAAGCUACCAGGGCAAACAGAAAUGUUUACUGCUGCUGUCUGCAGUUUAUUCAUCCAAAUCUCCUUCUUCCCAUGGCCUUUCUUGUAGUAGCUGUUCAUAGUUUUUCUAAAAGCAGCAAAUUUUGAGGCAAGUCAUUUGUCUAUAAAUUCUCAUUUACUUCUACCUGUUUUAUUUCUGAUGAAAGGUUUUGAUUGGCAAAAUGAAGUAUAAUCUGUUUAAAGGCCAGCCUAGAUAGAUACUGCUCUACAGCUCAUAUUUUAUGAGGUUUUUGUGAACUCUGUGUCAGUAUGAAUGUCAGCAUGGGAAACAUAUUUAAUCUUCCUGCACAGCUGUUUUUGUCAUCCUUCUCCUCAAUCAUUAAUAAACAGCUGAUAAAGCUCUUAGGGGAACUUGCCGUGAUGCAUACUGACAUUGCUUUGUCCAACCUGUCCCUUCUGUUGCCUAGCAGAGGGUUAAUGCUUUAAACUGGCCAGAGAGUUUGAGAAGACUUGGGAAAAUUCAGGAGUGGUUACACAGGUGGUAAGAGGUCUGACCUUAGCCCACCAUCACAUGUGAAAUUAGAAGAACAACUCAUUGCACUGGAAGAAAGACCACUAUUCUAAUUUUGUGAUUUGAGCUGAAUUUUGUGAUUUGUUAAUUUUUAUUAAUAGCUCAGCUGCUCCAGAUAGAAACUCUGACUCACAACCUGGGGGGAUGGAAGUGAAGUGAGGGCAAAGAGCUCCACACCCACCUGCAAGCUCUGAAGGGAGACUGGAAGUGGGGUAACUUAGUAAAUGCUAUUCUGGACUAAUGCUUUAAAAAGACUGGGCUGAAAACUUUGUCUCAGGAAAAUUGAGAAGGGAAUUUCCCUUAUACUCAGUCCAAUCAGAAUUUCAUGCAGAAGAGGGAGGAAUGUAAUUUCAGAGUGACUUCCCUGACAGUAGAGACCAUAUGCCCAUGAUUUACCUAGAAAGUUAUUUUUCUAGUGCCGGGGAAUUUCUGGUUUUCAUUUCAGUCAAAUUACUCUGUGGGUGUUGACAAUAUUUAUUCACAACACAUUGCUCUAUAGCAUAAUCUUUGUUUGCUGUGUUUACCUGAUGGAAGUGACUCAGUGGGACCGUUGUGCCAUUGGAUUAAUGAUAUUUAAGGUAAAAUGUUUGAAUUGUCCUAUGGCUGGAAGAGCAUGUGAGCAUUGCUGAUCGUUGUUCAUUGUCGCCAUUUUAGAACUUAAAAGGUACUGAGGGAGUGCUUCAGUUCUGAAAAUACAUAUGGUUUUGAGUGAAAUAGGAUAGCACUCUAAGCGAACUUCUGUAUAGGUGUUUUGGGACCUUGAAAAUGAUAUCACAAGAGUCACAAGUGUUUUCCUGAGAAUUUAUGGCCAUGUUAAUAAAUGGCAUCCUACAGUACCCUCAUGUAAACCCUUAGAAGCCUGACAUGACUUUAUUAGAGGUACUUUGGAUUUACAUCAGAGCAAAUUCACUGGAAAUUGUCCUCUGAUACCUCCAUUUUGAACAUUCAUGUUAUUUUAUAAUUCAAUAAGAUAGUUAUACAAAGAGGUGUUAAUGUUGGCUGUAGAAACUAAAGCCUUUUCUUUUCAGCCAAGAUGUGGCAUGUG